RNAcentral lists this small nuclear RNA (155 nucleotides) under Dasypus novemcinctus (nine-banded armadillo). RNAcentral describes it as "U1 spliceosomal RNA (ENSDNOG00000046876.1)". It matches the Rfam family "U1 spliceosomal RNA". Rfam says of the family: U1 is a small nuclear RNA (snRNA) component of the spliceosome (involved in pre-mRNA splicing). Its 5' end forms complementary base pairs with the 5' splice junction, thus defining the 5' donor site of an intron. There are significant differences in sequence and secondary structure between metazoan and yeast U1 snRNAs, the latter being much longer (568 nucleotides as compared to 164 nucleotides in human). Lineage: Eukaryota; Metazoa; Chordata; Mammalia; Cingulata; Dasypodidae. The record is from RNAcentral.
ACACUCACCUGGCAGGACGACCCCGCUCACGGCGGUGGUUUUGCAGGGCGAGGCUUAUCCACUGCCCUUUGCAUGUGCCGCCCUGUGAUUUCCCCAAAUGUGGGAAACUCCCGCGUAAUCGUGGUCGUGGGGGACUUUUCUUGCACUCUCCCCUU